Molecule: non-coding RNA, 383 nt
Organism: Camellia sinensis
Lineage: Eukaryota; Viridiplantae; Streptophyta; Magnoliopsida; Ericales; Theaceae
Source: RefSeq, a predicted model, not a curated record
UUCGACACAAUUUUAUAAUGCCACUUGGCUGAGUUUUAGGGUCCCAUGAACUCAUGUUGGACAAUUGAGAGAGGUAUCCAACAAGGCAAAUAAUGCAGAGCUAAAAUUGUUCUUAGAAGUGGAAAGUGGACAGGAUUUGCGGCCGAUUCCUCCACCUUUGAAGAGCAAAGAGGAGAUUCUUCUUUUUUUCAAACUUUAUGAGCCUCUGAAAGAGGAGCUUAGGUAUGUUGGGCGGUUGUUUGUGAAGUCGAAUGGCAAGCCAGCAGAAAUAUUGACAAAGUUAAAUGAGUUGGCUGGAUUCAGUCCUGAUGAAGAAAUUGAACUCUUUGAGGAAAUAAAAUUUGAACCUAAUGUCAUGUGUGAACGCAUUCAAGAAGCUCACC